Molecule: ribosomal RNA, 499 nt
Filed under: uncultured Glomeromycotina
Lineage: Eukaryota; Fungi; Glomeromycota
Description: partial small subunit ribosomal RNA
Rfam family: Eukaryotic small subunit ribosomal RNA
Source: RNAcentral
CCAAUAGCGUAUAUUAAAGUUGUUGCAGUUAAAAAGCUCGUAGUUGAAUUUCGGAAUCAAGGUGCCAGUCAUGCCUUUGGUAUGCACUGACAUCAUUGAUUUCUCCCUUCUGACGAACCAUGAUGUCAUUAAUUUGGUGUCAUGGGGAAUCAGGACUGUUACUUUGAAAAAAUUAGAGUGUUUAAAGCAGGCAAAUGCUGGAAUACAUUAGCAUGGAAUAAUGAAAUAGGACGUUUGAUCCUAUUUUGUUAGUUUCUAGGAUCUACGUAAUGAUUAAUAGGGAUAGUUGGGGGCAUUAGUAUUCAAUUGUCAGAGGUGAAAUUCUUGGAUUUAUUGAAGACUAACUACUGCGAAAGCAUUUGCCAAGGAUGUUUUCAUUAAUCAAGAACGAAAGUUAAGGGAUCGAAGACGAUCAGAUACCGUCGUAGUCUUAACCAUAAACUAUGCCGACUAGGGAUCGGAUGAUGUUAAUUUUUAAUGACUCAUUCGGCGCCUUACG